RNAcentral lists this ribosomal RNA (416 nucleotides) under uncultured bacterium. RNAcentral's name for it is "bacterial SSU rRNA". It matches the Rfam family "Bacterial small subunit ribosomal RNA", at positions 358 to 771 of the family's 1533-position model. The record is from RNAcentral.
GGAAUAUUGGACAAUGGGUGGAAGCCUGAACCAGCCAUGCCGCGUGCAGGAUGACUGCCCUAUGGGUUGUAAACUGCUUUUGUCCGGGAAUAAACCUCCUUACGAGUAGGGAGCUGAAUGUACUGGAAGAAUAAGGAUCGGCUAACUCCGUGCCAGCAGCCGCGGUAAUACGGAGGAUCCAAGCGUUAUCCGGAUUUAUUGGGUUUAAAGGGUGCGUAGGCGGCGCGUUAAGUCAGGGGUGAAAUACGGUGGCUCAACCAUCGCAGUGCCUUUGAUACUGACGUGCUUGAAUCCAUAUGAAGUGGGCGGAAUAAGACAAGUAGCGGUGAAAUGCAUAGAUAUGUCUUAGAACUCCGAUUGCGAAGGCAGCUCACUAAGCUGGUAUUGACGCUGAUGCACGAAAGCGUGGGGAUCGA